CUACGGGACGCUGCAGUGGGGAAUUUUGCGCAAUGGGCGAAAGCCUGACGCAGCAAUACCGCGUGAGUGAAGAAGGCCUUUGGGUCGUAAAGCUCUUUUCUGAAGGAAGAUAGUGACGGUACUUCAGGAAUAAGCACCGGCUAACUCCGUGCCAGCAGCCGCGGUAAUACGGAGGGUGCAAGCGUUGUUCGGAUUUACUGGGCGUAAAGGGCGCGUAGGCGGCAUAGCAAGUUAAGGGUGAAAUCCCGGGGCUUAACUCCGGAACUGCUCUUAAAACUGCUAAGCUAGAGAUAGUCAGAGGCGGGUGGAAUUCCUAGUGUAGAGGUGAAAUUCGUAGAUAUUAGGAGGAACACCGGUGGCGAAGGCGGCCCGCUGGGGCUUAUCUGACGCUAAGGCGCGAAAGCGUGGGGAGCAAACGGGAUUAGAUACCCGAGUAGUC
Molecule: ribosomal RNA, 439 nt
Filed under: uncultured bacterium
Lineage: Bacteria
Description: partial 16S ribosomal RNA
Rfam family: Bacterial small subunit ribosomal RNA
Source: RNAcentral